RNAcentral lists this ribosomal RNA (1649 nucleotides) under metagenome. RNAcentral describes it as "bacterial LSU rRNA". It matches the Rfam family "Bacterial large subunit ribosomal RNA", at positions 1276 to 2925 of the family's 2925-position model. The record is from RNAcentral.
GACUUCAUACAUUGACCAUGCAAGCAUGAGUAGCGAAAAACCGGAUGAGAAUUCCGGUCACCGAAAGACUAAGGUUUCCUGGGCAAGGUUCGUCCUCUCAGGGUUAGUCGGAACCUAAGGCGAGGCGGAAACGCGUAGUCGAUGGACAAUUGGUUAAUAUUCCAAUACCACCUUAUCGGAGUGAUGGAAGGACGCAGUUGCUAAUGUGAUUCUGGCUAUAUGCCAGUCGAAGAUCAUGGGACGCCGGGGGUUAAAUGACCCGGCAUCAGUCUGAAGAUUGACAGGCGGUGGAUCCUUCGGGUGAAUCCGUUUCACUGAUGCUAUACUGACGAGAAAAGCUCCUAAACGUUGAUGAUAGGGUGUCCGUACCGCAAACCGACACAGGUAGUCGAGGCGAAAAGCCUAAGGUGCGCGAGUGAAACCACUUCAAGGAACUCGGCAAAUUGGCCCCGUAACUUAGGGAGAAGGGGUGCCCGACGGGUGAAAGCCCGGAGGGUUUCAACAAAGAGGCCGCGGCGACUGUUUAACAAAAACACAGCUCUCUGCUAACUCGCAAGAGGAUGUAUAGGGAGUGACACGUGACCAAUGCCGAAAGGUCAAAUGGAUCCGUCAGCAGCAAUGCGAAGCGGUGAUAUGAAGCCCCGGUGAAUGUCGGCCGUAACUAUAACGGUCCUAAGGUAGCGAAAUUCCUUGUCGGGUAAGUUCCGACCUGCACGAAUCGUGUAACGAUCGCGGCACUGUCUCGAAGUGGAGCUCGGCGAAGUUGUAAUUCCGGUGAAAAUGCCGGAUACCUGCAGUAGGACGGAAAGACCCUGUGAACCUUUACUGUAAUCUGAUAUUGGUAUUCGUGUGUUCAUGUGUAGUAUAGGUGGGAGGCUUUGAAGCCGCCGCGCCAGCGGUGGUGGAGUCAUCAGUGAAAUACCACCCUUGAUAACUUGAAUAUCUAACUGAAGCCCGUGAAUCCGGGAUUGGGACAGUGUCAGAGGGUCAGUUUGACUGGGGCGGUUUCCUCCAAAACGGUAACGGAGGAGCACGAAGGUACACUCAGCACGGUUGGCAAUCGUGCACAGAGCGCAAGGGUAGAAGUGUGCUUAACUGUGAGACAAACAUGUCGAACAGAUACGAAAGCAGGUCCUAGUGAUCCAGCGAUGGAACGUGGAAUCGUCGUUGCUCAACGGACAAAAGGUACUCCGGGGAUAACAGGCUGAUAGCGCCCAAGCGUCCAUAGCGACGGCGCUGUUUGGCACCUCGAUGUCGGCUCAUCUCAUCCUGGGGCUGUAGAAGGUCCCAAGGGUCCGGCUGUUCGCCGGUUAAAGAGGUACGCGAGCUGGGUUCAAAACGUCGCAAGACAGUUUGGUCCUUAUCCACUGCAGGCGCAGGACAUUUGAUGAGAGCAUUCCUUAGUACGAGAGGACCGGGAAUGACCGACCGCUGGUAUUCCAAUUGUCUCUAAAGAGGCAGCGUUGGGUAGCUAUGUCGGGAAAGGAUAAGCGCUGAAAGCAUCUAAGCGCCAAGCCCCCUCAAAGAUGAUAUGUCCCGGACCGUAAGGUCCCUGAAGGCGGGUCGUAGACUACGACCUUGAUAGGAUAGAAGUGUAAGAACAGCAAUGUUUUCAGCUUACUAUUACUAAUACGCCGUGAGGCUUGACC